RNAcentral lists this ribosomal RNA (623 nucleotides) under Clostridioides difficile. RNAcentral's name for it is "partial 23S ribosomal RNA". It matches the Rfam family "Bacterial large subunit ribosomal RNA", at positions 1865 to 2486 of the family's 2925-position model. Lineage: Bacteria; Bacillati; Bacillota; Clostridia; Peptostreptococcales; Peptostreptococcaceae. The record is from RNAcentral.
GGUGCUGGAAGGUUAAGGGGAUCUGUUAGAGCAAUCGAAGCAGUGAACUUAAGCCCCAGUAAACGGCGGCCGUAACUAUAACGGUCCUAAGGUAGCGAAAUUCCUUGUCGGGUAAGUUCCGACCCGCACGAAAGGCGUAACGAUUUGGGCACUGUCUCAACAACAGACUCGGUGAAAUUGUAAUUCCGGUGAAGAUGCCGGAUACCUGCGACAGGACGGAAAGACCCCAUGGAGCUUUACUGUAGCUUGACAUUGGGUCUUGGUACUACAUGUACAGGAUAGGUGGGAGGCUUUGAAACCAGGACGCCAGUUUUGGCGGAGCCAUCCUUGGGAUACCACCCUUGUAGUACUGGGACUCUAACCAUAGGCCAUGAAUCUGGUCUUGGGACACUGUCAGGUGGGCAGUUUGACUGGGGCGGUCGCCUCCCAAAAGGUAACGGAGGCGCUCAAAGGUUCUCUCAGUACGGUCGGAAAUCGUACGUAGAGUGUAAAGGCAAAAGAGAGCUUGAUUGCAAGACAUACAGGUCGAGCAAGGAUGAAAAUCGGACUUAGUGAUCCGGUGGUUCUGCGUGGAAGGGCCAUCGCUCAACGGAUAAAAGCUACCCUGGGGAUAACAGGCUUAU